GACGAACGCUGGCGGCGUGCUUAACACAUGCAAGUCGAACGGAAAGGCCCUGCUUUUGUGGGGUGCUCGAGUGGCGAACGGGUGAGUAACACGUGAGUAACCUGCCCUUGACUUUGGGAUAACUUCAGGAAACUGGGGCUAAUACCGGAUAGGAGCUCCCGCUCCAUGGUGGGGGUUGGAACGUUUCGGCGGUUGGGGAUGGACUGGCGGCUUAUCAGCUUGGUGGUGGGGUAGUGGCUUACCAAGGCUUUGACGGGUAGCCGGCCUGAGAGGGUGACCGGCCACAUUGGGACUGAGAUACGGCGCAGACUCCUACGGGAGGCAGCAGUGGGGAAUAUUGCACAAUGGGCGGGAGCCUGUUGCAGCAACGCCGCGUGCGGGAUGACGGCCUUCGGGUUGUAAACCGCUUUCGCCUGUGACGAAGCGUGAGUGACGGUAAUGGGUAAAGAAGCACCGGCUAACUACGUG
This 468-nucleotide ribosomal RNA is filed under the name uncultured bacterium. Its description in RNAcentral is "partial 16S ribosomal RNA". It matches the Rfam family "Bacterial small subunit ribosomal RNA", at positions 28 to 507 of the family's 1533-position model. The record is from RNAcentral.